Long non-coding RNA from Felis catus (domestic cat), 4557 nucleotides. RefSeq lists it as uncharacterized. NCBI's taxonomy places the organism in Eukaryota, Metazoa, Chordata, Mammalia, Carnivora, Felidae. The transcript is spliced from 8 exons. The record is from RefSeq and is a predicted model, not a curated record.
CUUCUAAGACAUCUGUUGGUUUGCCUGGCGAUGGGUCUGAAUGGAGCACAGCACCCAGAAUGCCUCAGCCCCUUAGUGACCGGGUAGGCAUUUGAUUACUCGGGAUGCCAUAUGUUGUAUCGGGAGUGAGCAAAUUGUGCUUUCUAAAAAGCCCAAGUAUGCAUAUCAAAACCAAGGGGGGGCGGGGUGAACCAAAGUACCUGUGUGCCCCCCGCAGGCCAACCUAGUAGGAAGCCCUGGGGUUGGGCAAAGACACAAAUGUUGGAGUCAUCCCCGGCUGGGUUUGAUGCGGGCUUCUUUCUCCAACUAUCUGACGGGAAGCAAAUCGCAGAUUUCCCUGACAUUCUUCUCCGGAGUAUCGCGGACAGUCUCUCACAGGACGUGGUGAGGAUCAAAGGAGGAAACAGACCCCAGCACCCGGCCCAGCGGCUUUCGGAAUAUUAGUGACCAUUAUCAGGUACUGGGGGUAGGUUAGCUCAUUGCACCUCCAGUAAUCACGUGGGGUAGGGCCGUGGGCCUCAUUUGCCAAAGUAAGGAGUUUCAGCAUCGAAAUGUUAACUCUUGACGCUUGGCUCAAACCCCGGAUCCCUGAUCGAGCCUUCCCUAAACCCCCCGAGGGCACUUGAAGACUCAAUUGGCUACACAGGGUGGUGGCCACGAGGCAGCUACUCUUGCUGACCCUGUGGAUGGAGAACAACCACCUCUCAAGGGAAAUCAGCUGCAAGAUAGCCACCCACGCAAGUUAGUGGUUAUAAGCCGCCCUUUGGAGACAGCCUCCUGCAUCAGAGAGAAGCAAGCAAGGCAGCGCUUCCCUGCGCCCUGCGGCCACGGCGCUGCCUUUUUCCGGCUGCUGGGGCGAGAGUUUGUCAGAAGUAGGUGAACCGCGGGGAGCCGGGGCCCACAAAGCGGCCUCUUCCCGGCAGAGUUUCACCCCGUCAGGUUCUGGACCUGGGGUUCUUGGCUCUGUGACGGGGCUGGCACCACGCAAGCCCUGACUACCUGUGUCUUCAGCAUGGAUCUCUGAGCGCCAACCACCCUGUUGAGAGCCUUGGUCUGCGGUGAAAUGGCAGCCUCUACAUCCCUCUACCGUAUAGACCCGAGAACUUGCCUUCUCCGCCUCGUCCUACAGAGACGGAGACCUCCUGCAGAGAACAGAGGAGGACCUUGCGAAAACCCUUCGAGUUCCUCCAGCGACAGACAGCUCUGGGAAGUCUAUAGGAGCCUCGAGAACAAUUCGGUUCCUCUGGGAGAAGAGCCAGAUUGGCUGCAAGAUCUUACUGGCCGGGGAGAGACGUUUUAAAAAGCCAGUGAAAGAAAAUCCCUUCCCUUUCUGGAGAACCGGAAGAAAAGAACGUUGCAUCCGACGGAUCCUUUUGUGGGAGGACCACCAAAACACUUAUCAAAGCUUAGAAAAAAAGAGCCGUCCAGCUUUUCUAAUAAAGGACAUUCCUUCUGAGGUUGGCAUUUAUUCAGCAUGAGACACAGGCUUCCCUGUGUGAGGAAGAAAUGAGCUUAAGUGGGUCGUGCAACAGAGAGCAGGCAUUGAGCAUCCUGAAGCUUUCUGCAGCUUUCAGCAUACAGCGGUGGCUUGGCUGACCAGCCGGGGCUGUGAUCGCCUGGGUUCUUCCUGUGAUAAAGCGGCCAGCUCAGGACUCUGCUGUCCCGCGUGCUUUUCCGGCACCCGUGGCUCCUGAGCACUUGAUAUGUGGCCAGUGUGGCCAACGACUGGGAUUCUAAGCGUUACGUGGUUUUAAUUAAUUUAAUUUCAGUCGUGAUUAAUUUCAGUCUACAUUUUACACGCUGGCACUUGGUUCAGCUAUCGGCAAAAUUCUAAGUUUGGAACGACGUGGCUCUAGAAAAUCUACUUCGACUAAAUUCUGUCAAAUCUAAACGCAGAUCACAUACUGCUCAUAUAUAAAAAAAAAAAAUUACUGUCCAUGUUGAGACGUGGGACCUGCUUUAGGGGUAAAAUGCCCACCAGAACCUAUCGCUAUCUGGCUUUGGCAAUGAGCGAAGUCAUCCAGUCAAGAAAAACCUCUCCAGGUGUUAAAUCAAUGUGCAUACCAGAGCAUAAUGGAACCAAGCCUGAGGGUUUCCUGACUUCGGGCAAUGAAGAUCAUACUGACAAAGACAUUGGGCAACACCGGUAUAGAAGGGUGGAGAAGCAGUGUUUGUGGCCGUGGAAUGGAAAGGUUGUGCGGAAACAGAAAAUGCCAGUGUCGUCAUGUAUCCUGGUGUGACACAAUUGUUAGGACAAAUUACUAAGAACUCCGGGCCAUACCAGAACGUUAAAAGGACAUUUGGUCCCCUAAUCUUCAAGCUCUUUCCUGCUGAAAAGUCACAUGAUUCUAACUAGCAACAAACAUACUGCGUGCAAUGUACAAAGAGAGUUCAGAAACUUGAAGUUCAAAAAGGAACGCAUUCUGUGCCACAUUCAUUGCUUUCUGACAACUACACUGGGCCAGCAUGUUGAUUUCUUUGUGGCUUGCCCUCUGCCAGCUUUUCUUUGGACUCACUUGUUAAUGAGUAUGCUUUUCAUAAUUAGGGUGCUGUUCGGUCUCAGAAUUCCAAAUAGUACACGUGAAGUGGUGGCAAGAAAUGAAUGGCCGACUCCCUGAAAUCCAUGACCCGAUUGCCUUUACAUAGUGACACAAAACAGAACUCAUUUUUCUUAUGGUAUCUCUCAGGUGUACCAAUGGAGCAUAUAAUGCAAGGACACUAUAAGAAAUCCAACCCCUCCGUUACCCUAUGGCCCGGCUCAUUAACUUAAGAUCAGUUUGGAGUUAAAAUUUCUCCUUGUAAAGUACAUGGAAGAAUGCUGACUCAUAACUGAUUACUUCCAUUUGUGUCAUUUCUGAAGUAUCUCCUAAGCCCGCGGGGGACAUACUUGUUGGGCAAUUUAUCUCUUUCACUUAUUAUGUAAUCGUAUUUCCUUAGAAUCCGCCACAAGUCACAUCAAAUGCUGCCGUAUUUGGGCCAUCAUUUCUUCCUCUCCUACGACGUUUUCCAAUCGUUAAAUUAUUUAGGAGAUUUUGCAGUUGAUGGUACAACAUUCUGAUAAGAAAUAGCUGCGUAAAUGCAGAAGGAGAAAAAUCAGUUCUACACGUUGGUACACAAAUGCCAUCUGCUCAAGAAAGAAAACGCAAGAUAGGUCUAACGUGUCACAAGAUCAAAGACCACAAUCGAGAAAGCCUUCAAAAGAUCCUUACUGUGGACUUCUGGUCCACGAUGGUGACAUAGGAACAACCUGAACUCACCUCCUCCACAGCCACACCAAAUCUCCACCUGCUUACAGAGCAAUUCUUCCUGAAACAGAAUCAAGUGCUCACUGAAUAGCUGCCGCACAAGAAAAGACACACCGUAGAGAAUGACAAGAAAGACGCUUCCCAGGACACCCCUGAUGCAAGGGGCCCUGCGAUCUCCUGGCUUGUAGCCACUUCAGUUUCAUGUGUCCUAUAACAAGUGCUCCCCGCUCAGAGAGCGCCAUGGCCCCUGGCUUCCAUCUCCUUCAGUUUCAGCUGCCUUGUCAGUGCACCUUCUGUGCAGAGAGAACCAGGCUGCCCCAGCCCACACCCAUUUCAACUUGAGCUAUCCUUCCAGGGUCCCCUCUGCACAGAGAGUGCUGUGAUGCCCUGGCUUGCGCCCACGUCAGCGUCAGCUGUCAGACUGUGAUGCCCUCAGCACGGAUGGCCUCAGGACCACCCAGCACGUGCCUACUUUAGCUCAGGCCGUCUCACCAGGGUGGCCCCAGCACGGAGUGACCUGCGACCCCCAGUCAGCCCACUAAAGCGACCAGGCACAUACAGUCUACACAGGGGAGGACUAGACGCAAGAGCAUUCCUUCUAAUUUAGGAGAAGUAGCUGUUCUGCCUAAUUCACAGAAAUAGACAAAGACAAUCAAGCAAAAUGAGGAGACAGCUGGAAAGAAAGAAUAAGACAAACCUCAGAAAAAGAACUCGAUGAAAUAUAAAUAAGCAAUAUGCCUGAUGAACAGUUCCAAAUAAUGGUCAUGAACAGAUGCUCACUGGACUGGAGAGAAGAAUGGAAGAACUCAGAACUUCAAAAAAAGAGACAGAAAAUAUAUAGAAAACCCAAUCAGGGUUGAAGAACACAUUAACUGAAAUUAAAAAUACACUAUAGGGAAUCAACAGUGGGUUAGAAGAUACAGAAGAAUGGAUCAGUGAUCUGGAAGACAGGGUAAAGCACCUGAACUGAACAGAAAAAAAAAAAAUUAGGAAUGAGGAUAGGCUAAGGACAACGUAAAGUGAACAGCCAUUGCCAUCAUUCCCAGAGGGAAAAGAGAGACAGAAAGGGACAGAAAACUCAUUGGAAGAAAUAAAAGCUAGACACUUAACUAACCUUGGGAAGGAAACAGACAUUCAGUUUCCGGCAGCAGAGAGAGUUCAAAACAAGAUGAACUCAAUGAGGUCCACACGGAGACAUAAGAAUUAACACGGUAAAGAUUAAAGAUACAUGGGGCGCCUGGGUGGCACAGUCGGUUAAGCGUCCGACUUCAGCCAGGUCACGAUCUCACAGUCCGUAAGUUCGAGCCCCGCG